GCUGAAAUCGGCCUCACACAAUAAUACACCACACAACAAACAAACCAUUUGACCAACCAAGUAGAUGUGAUCGAACAGUAAACACCACACCACUAGUACCGCAAGGGGAACACCUUCAAGCAAAAAACAGCAAAGACCAACCCUUGUACCUUUUGUAUCAUGGUUUAGCAAGUACUAAAGACAAGAAGAAUCAUAGCCUGCACCCCGGAAACCAGAUGAGCUACUCUAAAGCAGCUAAAUGGGGCACACCCUUCUCUGUGGCAAAAGAGUGGGAAGACUUUAAAGUAGAAGUGAAACGCUUACCGAAUCUGGAGAUAGCUGGCUACCCAAAAUAGGAAUAUUAGUUCCACUUUAGACCAGAAUAAUAAACACUUAUUUUCCUAAAGAAAGUCAAUAGGGGUACAGCUCUAUUGAGACAGGAAACAACCUGAAUUUGAGAGUACAAACAAUAAACUUACCAGUAGGACUUAAAGCAACCACCUAAUAAAAUAUCGUUAAAGAAUUUACACAAAAAUCAUUCAAACUCAAUAAAACCUCCAAAUUAACUAAGGGUAAACCCAUAACUAUGGGUAAUAUAAUGCUAAAACUAAUAAUAAGACAACCUCUCUUAACGCACCUUUCCUCUAGAAACGGAUAAACCACUAGCAAUUAACAGACCAUAACAGGAAUACACCAACCCAUACCCAUCAAUACACUAACUGUGAACCCGACACAGGAGCGUAAAAAAGAAAGAUUAAUCAUUAUAAAAGGAACUCGGCAACCGCAAACCCCAACUGUUUAACAAAAACAUAACCUUUAGCCAAACAAAUAUUAAAGGCAACGCCUGCCCAGUGAACAAUUAAACGGCCGCGGUACCCUAACCGUGCAAAGGUAGCAAAAUCAUUUGUCUAUUAACUGUAGACCUGUAUGAAAGGCAAAAUGAGGGUUUAACUGUCUCUUAUAGUUAAUCAAUUAAACUGAUCUCCCAGUAAAAAAGCUGGGAUACCACCACAAGACCAGAAGACCCUGUGAAGCUUUAAUUAAACUAUUAAACCUUAUAAUAACUACUUUAGGUUGGGGCGACCUUGGAAACAAAAAGAACUUCCAAACAUAAUGACCAAACCCACUAGGCCCACAAGCCAACAAAUGACCCAGUAAUACUGAUAAAUGAACCAAGUUACUCCAGGGAUAACAGCGCUAUCUUCUUCAAGAGCCCAUAUCAAAAAGAAGGUUUACGACCUCGAUGUUGGAUCAGGACAUCCCAAUGGUGCAGCCGCUAUUAAAGGUUCGUUUGUUCAACGAUUAAUGUCCUACGUGAUCUGAGUUCAGACCGGAGCAAUCCAGGUCGGUUUCUAUCUAUGAUGCACUACACCCAGUACGAAAGGACCGGUAUAGUAAAGCCCAUACUACAAGUAUGCUCUUACCUAAAACUAACCCAAUCAACUUUCCAUGCCACCCCAACCAAGAGAAGGUUAAAUUAAGGACAACCUUA
Molecule: ribosomal RNA, 1471 nt
Filed under: Fowlea piscator (Checkered keelback)
Lineage: Eukaryota; Metazoa; Chordata; Lepidosauria; Squamata; Natricidae
Description: 16S ribosomal RNA
Rfam family: Bacterial large subunit ribosomal RNA
Source: RNAcentral